GCCCAAGAGAUCGGGAUAACACCUGGAAACAGAUGCUAAUACCGGAUAACAACAGAUGAUGCCUAUCAACUGUUUAAAAGAUGGUUCUGCUAUCACUCUUGGAUGGACCUGCGGUGCAUUAGCUAGUUGGUAGGGUAACGGCCUACCAAGGCGAUGAUGCAUAGCCGAGUUGAGAGACUGAUCGGCCACAUUGGGACUGAGACACGGCCCAACCUCCUACGGGAGGCAGCAGCU
This 234-nucleotide ribosomal RNA is filed under the name uncultured Lactobacillus sp. Its description in RNAcentral is "partial 16S ribosomal RNA". It matches the Rfam family "Bacterial small subunit ribosomal RNA", at positions 128 to 355 of the family's 1533-position model. Lineage: Bacteria; Bacillati; Bacillota; Bacilli; Lactobacillales; Lactobacillaceae. The record is from RNAcentral.